Molecule: long non-coding RNA, 39082 nt
Filed under: Citrus sinensis (sweet orange)
Lineage: Eukaryota; Viridiplantae; Streptophyta; Magnoliopsida; Sapindales; Rutaceae
Description: long non-coding RNA (CSIN_LNC000238)
Source: RNAcentral
AACGAUCAACUAAUGCGGCGACAUAAUGUAACCCCAUCAGCAAUAGAGAGUUGGCAAAUCUCGAUCCGUGGAUCAAUAGCGAGAGCCUUGUUCAAUUCCAACACAAAGUCCCUGUUAUAUCUGAUUCUCUCAUCCAUUUUUGCGUCAGGUGGUGCAGCUACAGAUCCAUACCACAGCGUGUUGUCGUAGCCAAUCACUCCCCCAACCUACACAAGUUCAAUAAUCCUCUUGUGGUAGUUAAUGUAGUUAUUCUUAUCAGCAUCAACAAAGAUAAAGUCAAAUGUCCCAUGAUAUUUUUCCUGUGAAAUUCAAACAUUAAUUUUGAGCUAUACAACUCUAAUCUUCUAUAUACUAAACAAUCUUAUACGAGGAAUUUGUGCUUACGUCUUGGAUCAUUUGAUCGAGAAGAGGGAGAGCUGGGCCUUCUCUGAAGUCAAUCUUGUGAGCAAUACCAGCCUUUUCAAUUAUGGGGAGACCGAGUUCGUAGUAUUCUCUAUUGAAGUCAAUCUUGUGAGCAAUACCAGCCUUUUCAAUUAAAACCCGCUGCGGGUUGCGGGUGGGUUUGGUAAUUUAAAUUUUGUGCGGGUUUGGGUUUGGUAAUGGCAAACCCACUGCGGGCGGUGCCUAUUGCCAUCCCUAUGCGUGACAACUUAUUUUAGAACAAUUCAGUUUAUCUAAUGAUAAAAUUUAGUAAUUUAUUUUUAAAAUUUAGAAAAAUGCAAGUUUUCCAAACACCUACUUAAUUGCUUAUUCAUUGAGCAGAGUUGAAAGAUAAUUUUGAAAAAUACAAUGGAUAAAAUAACGAUCAACUAAUGCGGCGACAUAAUGUAACCCCAUCAGCAAUAGAGAGUUGGCAAAUCUCAAUCCGUGGAUCAAUAGCGAGAGCCUUGUUCAAUUCCAACACAAAGUCCCUGUUAUAUCUGAUUCUCUCAUCCAUUUUUGCGUCAGGUGGUGCAGCUACAGAUCCAUACCACAGCGUGUUGUCGUAGCCAAUCACUCCCCCAACCUACACAAGUUCAAUAAUCCUCUUGUGGUAGUUAAUGUAGUUAUUCUUAUCAGCAUCAACAAAGAUAAAGUCAAAUGUCCCAUGAUAUUUUUCCUGUGAAAUUCAAACAUUAAUUUUGAGCUAUACAAAUCAAUUACAGCUCUAAUCUUCUAUAUACUAAACAAUCUUAUACGAGGAAUUUGUGCUUACGUCUUGGAUCAUUUGAUCGAGAAGAGGGAGAGCUGGGCCUUCUCUGAUGUCCAUGGCCAAUAUCUGUAACAAUAUUCAAUAUUAAGACCAGUUUAAUUAGUAUACAGUUUGAAGCCAGGGUCUAAUUUAAUGGGGAAAAGCUAUCUUUCGAAGGCUCGAGUCCCAAGUUCAAUAAAGAUUUGUAUUCAUCCACUGUACCUUGCCGUCGUCGGGAAUAGCAAGGGCAGUUACGAGGAGAGAGUAACCGGUAUAAACACCAAUUUCCAUGGUAUUCUUGGCGUUGAUAAGCUUGAGUAGCAUGCUCAGGAAUUGUGCUUCGUCAGGUGCGCUGAACAUAAAGUUCCUGCGCAUUCCAUUAAUUUGUUGAGAACAAUUUACAAAAAAGAAAAAGAACAGCUGAUAAGAAAUCAUCAAAUACAAAUAAUCAAGAUUCUUAAUUAGAACGCAGAAUCUCACCAGACUUCUCCUAUAUAUUAACUAUGUAAUUGACGAGAAUCUUACUGUGGAUGCUUUUCUGUCAACUCGCGGAGCUCCUUCAAACACUCAUGCUCUCUUGGAUAUACAGUAGUUUCAAGUAUAUACUGCGAGAUAUUAAUCAUUAAUUCUGUUGAUGCUGAAAUCUGCUCGCCCUUCUCUCGACCAGAUCUUUGCACCAACAUUUAUGUAUUCAAUAGUGAGAAUGUCAAUUUCUUCUUGCUUCAACGAUCGCUCUAGUUACUGAAGUUAGAAUUAUCCAUCAUUCUCCCACUAAGCCUGCGUUCACAAAAGUGGAUCAGAGACGCCGGUGGUUUUACCGGCGUAAACCCUUCGAUGCCUAAGUUAGCACAAGGUGUUUACGGGAAAACGGUGCAAUUUAGAUUUGAUAAGUUAAUUAUUAUUGGCUCACAGUAUGUAUUAAAAAUGGUUUGGUUUCAAUUUGGCAGAGCUUUCCAUUCUCUCAAUUUUUCUGUACCAUUUCUUCAUGGGUUUCUUUCUCUUUUAUAGCCGCUGUCCCCCGUUUCCGUUUACCCUUCAUCCCCCAUUUAUCUCGGGUAGUGGGAGCCCCCCAUGGGACUCCAACUGCUACAUUGUGGGUAAACGUGGGGCACCGUGUCUCCCUUGAUGGUUCUGGGCCUAGCGCAACUGUCGUGAUUUCGUGAGAUCGUGUUCCCACUCUUUGGGGAAUGGGUAUCUGCUUGGUAUUUGUCUCUGGUCGGUACAUUCCUCUGGCUGAUAUUCAUCUCUGGUUGGCCCUUGUUCGCAGAAGACUCAUUAUCAGUGUUCUGCUCGUACCAUUUGGCUGAGGUGAUCCAUGCUGGGGUGGAAAUGAUGGCAUGGCUGAGCUGGUGCUCUUAUCUACUUAACACCAGUCCCCGAGUUUCUGGUCUUGCGAGUGAAACGAGUUGAGAGUAGAAACUGAUAGUCAAGUCUUACCGACCCAGGGAACUUUUCAUCUGGUCUUCUGUUUACUAGGAUGGACCUGGGGUUCCAUUUUUCGUCUAGGGAGAUUCCAAUUUGAGCAUGGGCCUUAUGAGCAUGUCCAUUGCAUAUCUGGGCUUGCGUUGGCCUUAUGAGCAUGUCCAUUGCAUAUCUGGGCUUGCGUUUCGUCUGGCCUCUUAUAACGGUUAGUGACGUGGCAUCUCCAGACUCUUCGUAUUUGAAAUUUGAAACGACGGGCUAUCCAUCCUCAAUAUACGGUGAGUGAGCUGGCAUCCCCAUCACUUAAACGCUUCCAUUUCCCCCUUUUCGUUUCAAAUCCCUAGAUUGAAAUCAUCAUCAUUUUGUUAUUCGUCUCUCCGCCGUUAGCCAACUCCUUCUUUGAACUUUGUUCACACCUCCCGCGUCCGGAGUAUCCAUUUGCUGGGUGUUUUCUCUGUCACGGCAGCACUAUCAGUGCCAGUCUAUUACAGGUAUAGUCUUUAACCUCUUCUUUGGUUGUUGUUGAUUGGGUUCUGUGUUGCCCCUUUUUGUAUUCGUGUACUCGGGUUUGCUUUGGUUUUCUUUUGAGAUUUCGAUAUGUCAAAUCGGAGAAGGAAGUUAAUUGCAGAUGAGAGUGACGAAGAAACAGAGGAUUCAAACCUUAACUUGUCAAUACCCACUGAUUUUCUACAUCCCUCCAGUAGUGUAGGCCCCUCUCAUGGUAGGGAUACCCUUGAGUACCCACGUCCCCUGACCACUUCACCCUCCCCUGAUUUAGAGCUUAUAGGAAAUAGAAGUGGACCUGCGUCGGGUUCUGGUGAGAACCACAGUUCUGGUGGGGUUGGGGUCCCUGAAGAAGUGGGUGAUAGUGAGGGAAACAGUUCUGAGCCGAGCCGACCCCCUAAGAAGAGAAACUUUGGCCAUAGGGUGAAGGCAGAUUCUUACCCUAUUGAUUACAUAGCUUGUGCCACCACCUCAACCGAUCUGUUCAAGCUUAGGAAUCUCUACAACAUUCCUGAGGAGGUUCUCAUUGUAGUUCCUGGGAAAGGCGACGUUCCUAGUCGGCCUCCGAGGGGGUAUGUAACGAUGCAUCUGGAGAGUUUCAGAUUAGGAGCUCGGCUGCCCCUUCAGCGUUACUUUGCCAAGAUACUAGGUGGUAUGCACCUGGCCCCAGGUCAGCUACAUCCAAAUGGGUAGAAGGUUCUCUCGACUAUGUACGUGUUAUGGGAGAGGUGUGGAUCGGAGGAGCCCUCCCUUGUUAAAGUAAAGCAUUUAUACCAGCUGAGGAGUAGCCCGAAGGAAGCAGGCUGAUAUUACUUCAUGUCGAGCUCUGCAAAGAGGAAGCCAAUCACCGGCUUCCCCUCCUCGUGUAAAAAUUGGAAGAAUAAAUUUUUCUUUGCUGGAGGAAGUUGGUGUCCAGUAACUCGUUCGCUUGAUGGUGAUAUUUACCUUCCAACGCAUUUUAUCACCCCAGGUCGUUCAUUUUUUUUUUAUUCUUUCUCAAAUUGUGACUUAUUGGGUUCUUUAACCUUGUUUUCUCUUUUAGAAUCGUGGGGUUUGAUUAAGGAACUUGAAGACCGACCUUUGCUCUAGGUGGAAACUGCUCUGGUGAACGCGUCUACUUGCCAAGACCUCCUGUCACCAACAAACCUGGUCGAUUCGGGUUUAGUAGACAUAGUUGCCGGAAUGGACAACAAGAUCCUCAGUGCUAUGACCAGAAAGCGUGGUCGAGCUCCAAGUAGCUCCAGCAACACUCCUCCUCCUCCGAAGAAAGCCAAUGUUGGUCAACCCAAGGCUUCUGUUCCUGCUCUGCCCCCUCCUCCUCCUCGAAAAAAUGGUGGGGAGAAGGUGAGUGAUAAAAGUCCUGAGGUCAGCAUCCAGUCCAGGGACCGGUCUUCUCCUCUUCCAUCUCGGGAUCAAGGUGACUACUUGAGCCCAUACCAGAGGGAUUACGGCAAAUCGGUGAGGCCUAAGAUGGUGAAGGACAUCAAGAGUAUAAACCUCUCCGAGUUAGCUGGAUCCGUUCAAAGAGUCUCCUUCAAGCUGGCCACCAUGGUUUCGUGCUACAAGAACAUGUUCAUUCGCCAUGAGAGGAGGCUCCAAGCUAAUAACCAGGACUUGAAGAAAAAGGUUGAGUCUGCCGACCGCUUGAAGCAAAAGCUGCUUGAUCUGCACAAGCAAAUCAUGGACUUGGAGGAGAAAGUGGCCAUGGCCGAAUCCACAUCUGUCAAGCUUGAGGGUGAGUUGGGUGAUCUGAAGUCUGACCUCCAAGCCACCCAGAGUGAGUAGGAUACUUUGAAGACAGCUCUUGAGGGAGAAAUCAAAUCUCUGAAUGAGCUGUUGGCCGAGGCGAAAGGUAAAUCCGCUGAUGUGGAUGAUCGGCUGGAUGCAGAGUAUAACUCUGGGGUCAGUUUCUGCUACAAGUGCAUCAUGUUUGUGCUGAAGGAAGAAUAUCCAAAACUUAACAUGAGCAAUCUUGAAGCUGGAGUGCAGAAAUAUAUGGCCGAGGUUGACCAGGGGGACAAGGAAUAUGGUGACCAGGAUUAGGUGGAGGCUUCCUUAGGAGGGGUGCAGGUGGAAGAAUCAGGUGAUCGUGAUCCAGAGGUAGGUCGAGGGUCAAUGCCUCUUUCUUCCGAUGUUGCUGAUCCUCCUCUUCCGGAGAUUGUUGAUCCUUCAACUACUGAAGCUGCUGAACCUCGUAGCCUUUAGACUUAUUUUUGUAUAAAUCCCGAACUUUCAUUUGUUGGCCAUUAUUUGAACGUUUAUAAAUUUUUGGACGCUUUCUAUUAGUCUUCUUGUCUGGUUUUUGUUCAUGGGUUGUUUCUAUAAAUUAACUUGACAAUUUAUUUGACUUUGCCUGCUGGUUCUUUGGUGGACCGAGCAGGAAUAGGUAUUCGCUGGCCUUAGUAGAAUUUCAUAAAAUUGCCUGCUGGUCUUUCGUUGACCGAGCAGGAACAUCACUGACUUGCCUUAGUAGAAUUUCAUAAAAUUGUCUGCUGGUCUUUCGUUGACCGAGCAGGAACAUGCACUUACUUGCCUUAGUGAAAGUUUCGUAAAAUUGCCUGCUGGUCUUUCGUUGACCGAGCAGGACAGACACUGACUUGCCUUAGUAGAAUUUCAUAAAAUUGUCUGCUGGUCUUUCGUUGACCGAGCAGGAACAGGCACUUACUUGCCUUAGUGAAAGUUUCGUAAAAUUGCCUGCUGGUCUUUCGUUGACCGAGCAGGACAGACACUGACUUGCCUUAGUAGAAUUUCAUAAAAUUGUCUGCUGGUCUUUCGUUGACCGAGCAGGAACAGGCACUUACUUGCCUUAGUGAAAGUUUCGUAAAAUUACCUGCUGGUCUUUCGUUGACCGAGCAGGAACAGACACUUACUUGCCUUAGUGAAAAUUUCGUAAAAUUGUCUGUUGGUCUUUUGUUGACCGAGCAGGAACAGGCACCGACUUGCCUUAGUAGAAUUUCAUAAAAUUGCCUGCUGAUCUUUCGUUGACCGAGCAGGAACAUGCACUUACUUGCCUUAGUGAAAGUUUCGUAAAAUUGCCUGCUGGUCUUUCGUUGACCGAGCAGGAACAGACACUUACUUGCCUUAGUGAAAAUUUCGUAAAAUUGUCUGUUGGUCUUUUGUUGACCGAGCAGGAACAGGCACCGACUUGCCUUAGUAGAAUUUCAUAAAAUUGCCUGCUGAUCUUUCGUUGACCGAGCAGGAACAUGCACUUACUUGCCUUAGUGAAAAUUUAAUGGGCUUGCUAACAGGGGGAUUUUAUGCUGAAUUCAUCUUUAUUGAAAUUUGAAUGCAUUACAGAAGUGCAGAAUAUAUGCAUGUGCAACAAGUCAUCAUGCAUUUAAUAUAAAUAACUUGUCAAAAUGAAGAUUUAGUAGAACACUUUGCUUACUGGAAGUACUUCUUCAAGUGCUCAGCGAUCUACGACCUCUUCACGUCUCGUCCAUCUGGGUACGCUAGCUUGUAAGCUCCUGGUACAGUCGCUCGUAUCACCUUGUACGGGCCUUCCUAUUUCGGGCCGAGCGCGCCAUGGUUAGGAUCCCUAGUGUUUUGGUUCACCUUCCUAAGUACCCAAUCCCCUGCUCGGAACUGCCUCACGCGUACGUUCUUGUUGUAAUAACGCAUGACCCUUUGUUGACACUGGGCCACUUUCUGCGAUGCCCCUUCCCUUUUCUCUUCCAGCAGGUCCAGGCUCAAGCAGAUCUGCUCGUCGUUUUGUUCCUCAUUGAAGUAUUCCGUCCGAUGUGUCCCCACUCCAAUUUCUGCUGGGACUACCGCCUCAUGACCAAAAGCUAAAGUAAACGGGGUUUCCCCUGUGGCGGUUUUGUGAGUUGUCCGGUAAGCCCACAAUACUCCUGGCAACUCGUCGACCCAAGCUCUAUUCUUCUCUCCCAGCCUAGUUUUCAGGAGUUUCUUUAUUACUUAUUGGCUGCUUCCACUUGUCCGUUUGCCUGGGGGUGUGCGGAGGUGCAGAACUUCAGGUCCACCCCCAAGUUUUGGCAAAAUUCUCUGAAGCUGUUGUUGUCAAAUUGCCUCCCAUUGUCUGUAAUGAUGGCAUAGGGGAUCCCGUAUCUGCAGAAGAUAUUCUUCCAAAUAAAAUCAGUCGUCUUUCUCUCCGUGAUUUGGCUGAGGACUCCCACUUCUACCCACUUGGUGAAGUAGUCUAUUGCCACAAUUGCAUGUGUUGCCGCCCCUUGGCCCUUAGGUAAUGGACCAAUCAGAUCGAUUCCCCAUUGGGCAAAAGGUCAUGGGGAUGUCAUAGUGGUCAGCUUUUCUGGGGGUUGUACAGGAACCUCUGAGAAGUUUUGGCAGACUUUACAGUUCUUUGCCAUCCUUUUCGCAUCCUGGUGCAUGGUUGGCCAAAAGUAUCCUUGCCGGAGUGCCUUGAAGGCUAAAGUUCUCGCUCCUGAGUGAUUGCCACAUAUUCCUUCAUGAAUCUUCCUCAGUACAUAAUCUGCUUUCUCGUCAUCCAAAUAUCUCAAAAGGGGCAAGGUGAAUCCUCGGCGGUAGAGCACCUUAUCGAGUAGCGUGUACCUUGCUGCUCGGCAUUUUAACUUCUUUGCUUGCCUCUUGUCCUCCGGUAGAAUGCCAUCGCGGAUGUAUGAGAAAAUCGGGUCCAUCCAGGAUUUCUCGCUGCUUAUUCUCAUUACCUCUACUUCCUCCCCUAUGCUUGGCGAGGUCCUUACCUUUAGUGGGACUAACUUAGGUAACUUUGGAUCUACAAUAGCAGCCAUUCUGGCCAACAUAUCUGCAUGGUAAUUCUCAUUCUGGGGUAUCUGCUUCACCUCUACCUCUUGGAAAAGCCCAAUCAUCUGCUUUGCCUUCUUCAAAUAAAACUCCAUCUUAUCUUCCCUUACUUUGAACUGAUCACUGAGUUGAUUGCAGACUAAUUGGGAAUCUGCUCGGAUUUCUACCCUUUCUGCUCUCAGUGCGUGUGCAAGUCCAAGCCCAGUGAUAAAGGCUUCAUAUUCAGCUUGGUUGUUUGUGAGCUGAAAUUCAAAUUUCACUGCAUACGUUAUUUCAAUCCCUUCUGGGCUUCGUAUUACAAUUCCUGCUCCGGACCCUUGUUCACUACAUGACCCGUCAACCAUUACCAGCCACACCCCUUUUGGUUUCUCCUGCUCUAUUGGUUGUUCCUCCCGAAUUUCUUCCCCUGGUUCAGCACGGUCAACCAUAAAAUCGGCCAGGGCUUGGGCUUUGAUUGCUCCUCGGGGCCUGUAGGAUAGGUCAAAUUCGCUCAGUUCAACGGACCAUUUUACUAACCGACCAGACGCAUCUGGUUUUUGGAGCAUUUACCGAAGGGGCUGGUCAGUCAUCACAACUAUCGGGUGGGCCUGAAAAUAUGGUCGGAGCUUACGUGCUGCCGUUAUCAGAGCCAGCGCCCAUUUCUCCAUCAGUGGAUACCUGGUUUCUGCGUCUACCAGGGCCUUGCUUAUGUAGUAUACCGGGUGUUGCUUUCCUUCUUCUUUUCUGACUAAUACCGAGCUGGUAGCCCAUUUAGAGAUUGCCAAGUACAAAAACAGCUGGUCGCCUUCUCUCGGAGUUGAUAGUAAUGGGGCGCUGGCUAGAUAUUCCUUCAGCUAUCCAAAUGCCUCAUCGCAUUCUGAUGUCCACUUCAUCUUUCUCCCUUUCUUUAUGGUUUGGAAGAAAUGGUGGCACUUAUCAGUGGCUCGCGAGAUGAAUCGGUUCAUUGCUACCAAUUUUCCUGUAAGGCUCUGCACCUCCUUAACUGUUCGUGGGGACCUCAUUUCUGUCACUGCCCGUAUUUGUUUCGGGUUGGCCUCGAUCCCUCGGUGGCUCACCAGGUAUCCCAAGAAUUUGCCUAAGCUGACCCCGAAUGCAUAUUUGUCUGGAUUCAGCUUCAUCUCAUACUUCCUUAGCAAUUCAAAGGUCUCUUCCAAGUGCUUCACAUGAUCCCUCGGUUCUUUAGACUUUGUGAUCAUAUCGUCAACAUAUACCUCCAUAGUGUGACCAAUCAAUGGUUUGAAGAUCUUGUUAACCAGCCUUUGGUAGGUAGCUCACGCAUUUUUUAGGCCGAAAGGCAUUACCCUGUAGCAAAACAAACCCAUGUUAGUUAUAAAGGUGGUGUUUUCCUCAUCCUGCUCGUCCAUGGGUAUCUGGUUGUAUCCGAAAAAGGCAUCCAUGAAACUGAGCAGGCUGUGACCCGCUGUUGAGUCCACCAAUUGAUCUAUUUUUGGUAGGGGAAAAUUGUCCUUCGGGCAUGUCUUAUUGAGGUCCGUGAAAUCCACACACAUCCUUCAUUUCCCGUUGGCCUUCUUUACCAGUACUACGUUGGAAAUCCACUCCGGGUAUUUAGCUUCCCUUAUAAAUCCUGCUUUCAGCAGCUUUUCCACCUCGUCAUUUAAGGCCUCGUACCUUUCCUAGUUAAAGCACCUCCUUUUCUGCCUUAUCGGUCUUGCUCCUUUCCUGAUCGCUAACUUGUGGCAGGCUACCCUGCGAUCAAUUCCUGGCAUAUCCUCAUGAGACCAGGCAAAUAUGUCUGCAUGGGAUUGUAGACACUUCACUAGCUCGCCUUUUAUUGUCUCACCCAAUCUUAGUCACUCUGCUCGGGUUACUCUUACUCACAAAGACCUCCUCCAGAUUCUCAACAGGUUCCUGACGACCCUUUUUAGAAUUUUUUCGGUUAUCUAGAGAGGUAACUUGCAGAGUCUCCUUGGCCGCUGUAGCAUAGCAGUUCCUUGUCAUUCUCUGGUCACCUUUUACUACGCCAACAACUUCAUUUACUCUGUACUUCAACGCCAGAUAAUGCGUGGAUAUAACGCAUUGGCUUAUCCUCAUGAACGGUCUCCCCAGUAUCAUCUGGUAAGGGCUUCUUUCUUCUACCACGACAAAGUCCAACAUCAUCGUUCUAUCAAACGGCUUUGACCCCACAAUAAUCGGGAGUUCGAUGAUCCCCAUGGGAGCUAAUCGUCCCCCUCCAAAUCCCUUUAAGGAUGUAUUCGUCCGUUCCAGCUUCAAAUCUGAAAUUCCCAUAUCAUCUAGGGUCGACUUAAACAGAAUGUCAACCGAGCUGCCUGUGUCCACUAGUAUUCGCAGCAAUUAUGUACUAGCCACCAUUGCCUUAAUCACCAGUGCGUCCUCAUGAGGAUAUAAAAUACCAUCUUCGUCGUCCUCUGUCCACAUGAUGAGAACUUGCUGCACUUUUACCCUCUUGGCUGCUGGCAAAUUGAAAAGCACCUCUUUGCCGGUCAUGGCGUAUCUCUCAUAGUUCUUCUGUGCCCUGUUCGAAUCCCCGGCCAAUGUUGGCCCUCCUGCUAUCACAUGAAUAGUCAGUUGUUCACGUUCCAGGCCCCUCUCAACUCCUUCAUCCCUCGUGUACUGUGCCUCAAUGACGGGGGACACUCCAUCUACAUACUCAUCCAAGUACCGGUUCCUCACCAAGUCCUCCACCUGAAUCUUUAGGUCACGACAUUGGCUGAUAGUGUGACCGUGAGUGUCGUGGAAUUUGCAGAACUUGCUCUUAUCACGUCGGUGAGCAGAUUUUGUUAUAGGGGCCGGAAGAUAUAGCAGGCCUCGUCCUUCGAUCCUCUCAUACAAUUCCUCCAUGGAGAUUUUUAACGAGGUGUACUGUCUAUACGCCAAGCUCUGGUCAACCAGUUGAACUGCUCAACUAUCAUGGAUAUCAGCCUGGGCUGGUAUCGUCGGUAGCUGAUCUGGUCGUCCAGCCCUGGAGUUAGUUGUAUGUAGUGUUCUAGGAGUGUUGUGAUAAAGGUGGGCAGCCAUCUGUCUGAAUUCUCGUUGCCACUCCGGGAAUGGAGGGCGCGGAGGUUGAGCCCGGUUGUGUCGGAAUUGUUGUGGUCUCUAAGCUAUGGGGUAAGGGUGAGAUCGAGCUGAUAUUCAACCCAUUACUGAGGAUUCCCCAGCUCGCUUUCCCGAUCCACUCCCGUUCGGGGCUCUCCGUUCCUUUCGUCUCAGCUCUUCCAGCUGUUCACUUUUUAUCCUUGCCGACUUCUCCUCUUCGAUUUCUAUAUCUCACCUCGCCUGUUCAUACCUCGCCGGGUAAUUCUACAUUAGGGGGCUUCUUAAGUUGUACCACAAUCGGCCUAUUCUUACACCUUUUAAUCCCCUCAACGCCUGCGGGUGAUUAAAAGCUCCCAGAUCCAGCACGGCUCGGUGAUAUCGUUUUACAAAAUCCCGAAGGGAUUCAUGUUCCUCAUGUUUCAUCCCCAUCAGUUCCAUUAUGUCGUCCUCUGGUGCAACUGCUCCUCAGAACUGUUCGGCCAACUAUUGGCACAUCUGCUCGUACCUUUUUAUACUUUCUCGGGGCAUCUUGCGGUACCAUUCUCGGGCUCGUCCCUCUAGUGUCAACGGGAACACCCUGCACCUCUGAGCUGGUGUCAGCCCCUGCACACCCGUCAUGUCGUUGAGACGUUCAAUAUGCACCAGCGGGUCACUUCGCCGGAGUAUUUGAGGUCGGGGAAGCGAAAAUCUCUUGGGAUUACAGUACCCAUGAUCUCAGUUGAUAACGGAGACUCUUCGUCUAACAUUAUCCUCCAGCUCGGGGGCUUUCUCUUACCCCUGUAUCUCCUCCAUCACCUGUGCCAAUCUGCGCACCUCUCCCUCCAAUUCUACAGCACGGUCAGGAUCACGUGCAGCUAUCUGAUCUUGUUCCUGCUCAACAUUCUGCAACCGCUGUCUGAGUUCUCCUUCAUCAACAUUGGCCCCUCGGCCAUUAAUUUCCAGUACCCGUCUGGGGCGAGGUUGGUACCUCCCUUCAUCCACGCGUUCUCCUAGAACCCGACCAGUACUUUUGUGGGGAUGCACCCCAUUAGGUUGGUCCGCCGACGGAGGAAUUUCCUCGACUCUACGCCUCCGGAGGGUGGGUUCUGCUUCAACUUCAUCUCUCCCCAAGGGGGUUUCACAAUCCCUUCUCCGCUCAUCCCUCAGCUCAUACAGUAUGGUCGUGAGAGUCUCCAUUUGUUUCUCUAUCCGCUCCAGUCGGUCUUGCAUCAUCCUCUCUCGAGCUUCAUUCGUAAUUUCCCGGAGAGUGAUUGUCUCAACAGUUUCAUUGUCAUCCCUCAGUGCAUCCUUCCUUAACACAUCCAUAUCUAACCGUUCGUUGCUUCUCUGGUAAUUACUAAUUUGGUGGUAGCUUUUUAUUCAGCUCCCCACAUACGGCGCCAAAAUGUUGAUGCUGAAAUCUGCUCGCCCUUCUCCCGACCAGAUCUUUGCACUAACGUUUAUGUAUUCAAUAGUGAGAAUGUCAAUUUCUUCUUGCUUCAACGAUCACUCUAGUCACUGAAGUUGGAAUUAUCCUGCCUUCUCCCACUAAGCCUGCGUUCACAAAAGUGGAUCAGAGACGCCGGUGGUUUUACCGGCGUAAACCCUCUGAUGCCUAAGUUAGCACAAGGUGUUUAUGGGAAAACGGUGCAAUUUAGAUUUGAUAAGUUAAUUAUUAUUGGCUCACAAUUUGUAUUAAAAAUGGUCUGGUUUCAAUUUGGCAGAGCUUUCCCUUCUCUCAAUUUUUCUGUCUCAUUUCUUCAUGGGUUUUUUUCUCUUUUAUAGCCGCUGUCCCCCGUUUCCGUUUACCCUUCAUCCCUCCUUUAUCUCGGGUAGUGGGAGCCCCCCAUGGGACUCCAACUGCUACAUUGUGGGUAAACGUGGGGCACCGUGUCUCUCUCGACGGUUCUGAGCCUAGCGCAACCGUCGUGAUUUCGUGAGAUCGUGUUCCCGCUCUUUGGGGAAUGGGUAUCUGCUUGGUAUUUGUCUCUGGUCGGUACAUUCCUCUGGCUGAUAUUCAUCUCUGGUUGGCCCUUGUUCCCAGAAAACUCAUUAUCAGUGUUCUGCUCGUACCAUUUGGCUGAGGUGAUCCAUGCUGGGGUGGAAAUGAUGGCAUGCCUGAGCUGGUGCUCUUAUCUACUUAACAAAUUCCAUUUUCAAAUUAAUUGAUGGCAUCUGGAUUGAGGAAACGGGAAAUGAAUUCGUAAUGUUUUAAACAUUAUACACCUGGCAGAGUUCAUCACUCUUUAAAAGAGUCUUGGUCUUAGACAAUUGCAGGAAGUCAGCAGCCUCGUUUUCUCGCCCGUCUUGAUUCGGAGCCAUUACUUGGUGUUUAUUUGUACUGGACAGAGUACUUACACUACCAAAUUAGUAUGUCCAUAGUACUUACACUACCAAUGUAGUAUACUAUAUAUGGUAUAUAGCGACUAAGCCAGCCUUCUCGACUUUCCUUCUCCACCACAAAGUCUACCAACCACGUACUGAUUAUUUUAUCCACACAAUCUUGGCCACAAUAAGAACUUGAAAAUGAACUCCAAUAUAAUGUUUUCCAAUAAUUUCUCUCCACAUGUCCAAUUUGAUUUUGAUAUUGUGAUGGAGCAGUUCUAUUUUUGACUAUUAAAUAAUUCUCAUAUUUGUAGGAUUAAAAGUCUAUAAUAUCUUUAUUAUUUUAAUUAUAAAAAUUAUUUAAGAAUUAUACUAUCCUAGUGACGAUGUUAUAUUACAUUGACAUACUUUCUUUUUCAAUUAAUUUUUUUUUAAAAAUAAAUUAAAAUAAUAAUAAUAUUUUAGACCCCUAAUGUUUUCAAUCUAUUCAAUAAAAAAGCCGCAUUCAUGAGUGCUCUUUGUGGUCAUUGUGUUUUUGCCUUUGUCACGAUCUCCAAGAAUCACUUCCUGUUAAUAAACAAUAAUUUUUUUUUGGAUUGUUCGGUUUAUAUUGAUCAAGAGGUCAACGUGCUUCUUUUGAGUACGCGGUCCACCGACUUUUCCCCGAUAAAUGUCGAUAAUUUUUAAAUGCGUUUGAUGAUGAUAUUAUUUAAAAAAAAAAAAUUGUAAAAGUAUCACUUAGAAAAUUUGGUAAAUAUCUCUCCGAAUCAAAACUGAAAAGAUGCCUAAAAUAUGAUUUUUUUGUAAAAAAAAAUCAGAAAUUGAAGCAAAUGGUGGUUAAGUAGAUUCAAAUUAACAGUUAGAAUGAGUUCAGGUUCAGUUUAAAGAUCCAUUUAAUUUUCUUGAUUGCAUAUGAAUAAUAAAUAAUAAAAUUAAAGCAUGUAGAUAAUAAAACAUAUAUCACACACUAAAUUAUAAAAAAAUAAAUGUAAAAUAUUUUAUUAACCACUCAAAUUUAAAUUUUAAAAAAUAAAAAAUUUAAACUUUAUCAACCUUACGGUUCAUAAAUUAUAUAUAAACUUCGAUUGACAGCUUAUCUAAUGAUAAAAUUUAGUAGUUUAUUUUUAAAAUUUAGAACAAUGCAGUUUUCUAAACAACUGCUUACUCAUGGAGCAGAGAUCAAAGAUAAUUUUGCAAAAUACAACGGAUAAAAUGACGAUCAACUAAUGCGACGGCAUAAUGUAACCCCAUCAGCAAUAGAGAGUUGGCAAAUCUCGAUCCUUGGAUCCAGAGCCACAGCCUUGUUGAAUUCCAUCAUAAAGUCCCUGAAAUAUCUGAGUCUCUCAUCCAUUAUUGAAUCCGGUGGCACAGCUACAGAUCCACACCACAGCGUGUUGUCGUAGCCAAUCACUCCCCCAACCUUCACCAGUUCAAUAAUCCUCUUGUGGUAGUUGAUGUUGUUAUUCUUGUCAGCAUCAACAAAGAUAAAGUCAAAUGUCCCAUGAUAUUUUUCCUGCGAAAUUCAAAAAUUAAUUUUGAGCUUUACAAAUUAAUUAGAGCUCUAAUCUUCUAUAUACUAAACAAUUUUUUGUUUAUUAUUAUUACUAUUAUUUUUGGGAGCAAUUUUUUUGCUUACGUCUUGGAUCAUUUGAUCAAGAAGAGGAAGAGCAGGGCCCUCUCUGAAGUCAAUCUUAUGAGCAACACCAGCCUUUUCAAUUAUGGGGAGACCGAGUUCGUAGUAUUCUCUAUUGAUGUCCAUGGCCAAUAUCUGUAACAGUAUUCAAUAUUAAGACCAGUUUAAUUAAUAUUUAUAUCGAAGUCAAGGUCUGAUUCCAAUGGGAAGAGCUAUCUUCCGAAGGCUCAAGUCCCAAGUUCAAUAAACGCGUAAGUUAAUUAAAAAAGAAAAAAAAAAUCCUAUUCAUCCACUGUACCUUGCCGUCGUCGGGAAUAGCAAGGGCAGUGUAUAGGAGAGAGUAACCAGUGUAAACACCAAUUUCCAUGGUAUUCUUGGCGUUGAUAAGCUUGAGUAGCAUGCUCAGGAAUUGUGCUUCAUCAGGUGUGCUCAACAUGUGGUUCCUGCGCAUUCCAUUAAUAUGUUGAGAAAAAUAUACAAAUUAGAAAAAGAACAGCUGACAAGAAAUCAUCAAAAUACAAAUAAUCAAGAAUUUUAAUCAGAAAGCAGAAUCUCACCAGACCUGUCCUAUAUAUUAAUUACGUAAUUAACGAGAAGCUCACCGUGGAUGCUUUUUUGUCAACUCGCGGAGCUCCUUCAAACAUUCAUGCUCUCUUGGAUAUACACUAGUUUCGAGUAUAUACUGCAAGGACAUUAAGAAUUAAUUCCAUUUUCAAUUAAUUGACGACAUCUGGAUUGAGGAAACAGGAAAUGAAUUUGUAAUGUUUUAAAGAUUAUACACCUGGUACAGCUCAUCACUCUGCAAAAGAUUCUUGGUCUUGGAUAAUUGCAGCAAGUCAGCAGCCUUGUUUUCUUGCCCUUCUUGAUUCGCAGCCAUUACUUGGUGUUUAUUUGUAAUGGAUAGAGUACUUACACUACCAAUUUAUUAUGUCCAUAGUAGUAUAUAUUGUAUGUAGCCACUAAGCCAGCCCUCUCGACUUUCCUUCUGCACCACAAAGUCUACCCCCCACAAACUGAUUUUUUUAUCCACACAAUCUUGGCCACAAUAAAAACUUCUUUGAAAAUGAACUCCCAUAUAAUGUUUUCCAAUAAUUUCUCUCCACAUGUCCAAUUUGAUUUUGAUAUUGUGAUGGGGUAGUUCUAUUUUUUACUAUUAAAUGAGGAUUAAAAGUCUAUAUUAACUGUGGACGUAAGAUUUUUUUUUUUUUCAAUGGCAGAAGGGCCAUGGCACCUGAGUCAAAAGCACUGUAUUCUUUGCACUCUUCUGAAAUUCAUAUCAUCUAAGUCAUGGUUGUUUAAUCCGGUUAGCAAACUAAUUCUGCACUCAUUAAACCUUAUCACUGUUUAUUUUUCUAGCUUAAUUACUUAUUCCUUGUGAUAAUAACUUAUUGUCGUUUGAUGGACACAAAUCACCCUCAGUUCAAUGUUAUCUGUUUACGGAUAAGUAUAUAAAAAAUCAACAAAGAACAUAUCACUUUUUUGUCUCUUUUUUUCAUUUUUUAGAAAAGGAAAAUUCAAAGGUGAUGUACCAAUUUUUUUCUUUCUUAUUUGAGUAUCAAAGUUAAUUGUGUGCGUUCCUGUCAAAAUCUGAAGACAAAAGAUGCUUCAUGCCACCAAAAAAAGAUGCUUCAUGUAUGAUAAGACUUCACCACCUUCAUGGGCCAGGUGAUAAGACCUAAAAUUUGUCUUGCAGCCCACCUGCUCGACAAAUGAUAUGAUAUUGGGAUCAUUUUGGGUUGGUCUUCAGUCAUUCAUUCCCCUCUUUACUAUAUACUUAUGCGUAAACAGAUAGCAUUGAACUGAGGGUGAUUUGCGUCCAUCAAACGACAAUAAGUUAUUAUCACAAGGAAUAAGUAAUUAAGCUAGAAAAGCAAACAGUGAUAAGGUUUAAUGAGUGCAGAAUUAGUUUGCUAACCGGAUUAAACAACCAUGACUUAGAUGAUAUGAAUUUCAGAAGAGUGCAAAGAAUACAGUGCUUUUAUGAUGUUGUUUUGAAAGCGAAUUUCUUUUAGAAGACAAUGAAAAUAUUUUUGUACACAAAUGUAAUUUUGAUCAAGGAUAAUUUAAUAAUAAUAUUUUCCAUGAUUCAAUCGGUAUGAAAAGAGUACAUUUAAGAUAACCUCAUUCAAAAAAAAAAAAAAAGUCUCAACACCAAUUUAUUUAUGAAAAUUAUGUGCCAAAUUUAAGAAGAAAGAUAUUACUCAACACACCUUUCCGAAUACUAAAAAAAAUCCUCAAUUCGAUCCUUUUGUUAGAUUAAUGAUUAAUUUUAUCUUCAGUCGCUUAGUAAAACGACAAAAGAAUAUCAUAAAUGUCCAGAAUUAAUUCAUUGCUGCCUUUUUCUUACAUACAUGAUCUAGUUUAAUUUUGCAAGUAAAAAAUUUCUUUUUUAUAUUUACAUGGUUUCAUUUAGUUAAGUUAGUUGUUGAAAAUUAAUUUAUAAUUGGGUAAACUUCAAGAUGCAGAUCAAUGGAAUUAAGAAAAAAAAAGUUAAUUAGGGAUUUAUUAUAUAUACUUAACUACAUUACGAAUGAGUUUAAUGAAUGGGUGUGUCAAAUGAAAUGGGUCGAAUCAAGCUUUGCUCAAGGCCUUUUUUUGAAAAAAAAAAAAAAAAUUUGAAAAAAUUUAAUUUAAUAGUUAAAAAAAUAAAUGUUUAAAUGUUUUUAGCGGCCAUUUGGAGUGGGCCUCUAGAUUUUAGUUUUAAUGUAAAUUUAAUGGCUGCAAAUAGAAUUAGGAAAAAUAUUUCAUUUUGGAAUUAUCACAAUUCACAAGGAGUAAUUUAUAAUUACUGAAAACUAAUUUAUAAUUGAGUAAAUUUCAAGAUGCAGAUCAAUGGAAUUAAGAAAAAAAAAGUUAGUUGGGGAUUUAUCGUAUAUACUUAAUUAUAUUGUUAUGAGUGGGUGUGUCAAAUGGGUGGAAUCGAGCUUUUUUCAAGGCCUUUAAAAAAAUUGAAAAAAAUUAAUUUAAUAGUUAGAAAAGAUAAAAAAAAAAAAAAAAAAGGUCAUCCAGAGUUUAGUUUUAAUGGCUGCAAAUAGAAUUAGGAAAAAAAAUUUCAUUUUAGAAUUAAAGUUCAGGAUGGGUUUACAUCAUCGACUUUUACAACAUUAAAAACUGAUUCACGAUACUAUAAAUCCAUGACGAAUUUUAAACCCAAAUAUAAUAAACAGUCACAAAAUUAGAUAGUCAAAAUAUUUUUGAUCGUAACAUUUUGCCUGACUUCAACUCAAUCAUUUUGAUUGUGCAGAGGAUUUGAUAUAAUUAACUUGCAUUUCGUACUACAGAAUUUGAUCAAAAGGUAAUUAUUCACCGACCACCUAUUUUUUUUAAUUUUUUUUAAAUAUUUAAAUAUUUUUCUUUUUUUUUUGGGCAACACUCCACUUGAAGUUAACAUUUUUUUUUAUUGGUCCACUCUCGUUAUAACAUUGUUAGAACUUUGCUGAUAUCAUGAGGGUAAGAUUGUCAUUUCACAACGACAUUAUUUGAAAAUAGAGGAUGACAGGUACAAAAUAAUAUAAUUUUAAAUAGAGUUAAAAAAAUAAAAAUUAUGUAUUUUUUAAAAAAUAUAAAAAAAUAAGAGGUCAGUGGAUAAUUGUCCUUAUCAAAAUCAUUGUAUGAUGAAUGAUAUGCACGAUCAAUUUGUGAUGUGAUCGGUUGCCCCUCUGUCAAGAUCCUGGGCGGUUAAGGCGUCACUCUUCAUUAUCUUGAUUUCCUCUCUUCUGGACAACACAGUUGAUCCAAUGCCAUAUCCUCACUAUGACGUCUAUUAAGAUAAACUUAGUUUCCAUAUCACUGCUUAGUUGCACUACAAAAACUCAUGAGUUGUAUCCUCCUCGUUGGAUAUUUGUACCAUUUGUAUUUUAUUGAGAACAACUUUAAAAAUAAAGAAGUAUCAUUAAUUUCUUCAUAUUCGUUCUAAGCUCCGGAUUAAAUUACAUAUAAUAUAACAUACAGCAAAUCUAUAAGUUGUGGUUUAUGAUAACUCAAUUAAUUUACAUGCUCUUUUAUUAAAUUCAUAAGUAGCUCAAGAGCCCAUAAAAUUAGCUCUAUGGGCCACAAAUUUAAAACUUAUAAAGGCCCAUAAUUGAAGUGCAUGAUUCCUCAAAUUUAAGAGGCCCACCGUUCUAUUCUUUUAACCUUGUAAAUAUAAAUAAAAUAAGAGUGGACCUAUUAGCACCCCUACAUUAUUUUUACAAAACUCCACUUUAAAUAAAAUUACAAUUAAAAACAAUUGAAAAUUAAACACAUAUAUAUAUAUAUAUAUUUCCAGAAAAUUACUUAAUUCAUAAUCAAUCCUUUUCAAAAAAAAAAAAAAAAAAAUCUAUAUGUUACUUCCUAUCUAACUAAAAUAAUUUGUACAAAUUUAGAAUAAUCUAUUGUUCUCUUUUGAUUUCUUAUUGAUUAAAUAUUUUUAUACUUAAAAUUGCUUUGAAAUUAUAAUUUGAAAUAUGUGUUAUUUCAGCUAAUGAUUAACACUAAAAAACUUAUCACUCAUGUAACUUUUUAAUUUGUGUGUAGAGUAAUAAUAAAAUUGAAAAUAAUUAAAAAAAAUAGGAUAAUAAUACUUUGAGUUUUAACAAUAAAACAAAUCAAAUGAAAAUUGAGAGGUGUAUCUAAAAAAAGGGGUAUUUUCGAAAAUAAAAUAAAUAUAACUAAAAAAGGGGUUUUAUGAAGAGAUCAGAGGGGUGCCAAUAGUCCAACUCAUAAAAUAAGGAGACUCAAUUGCCCAAUACUUUUUACGGGUUAUUUAUAGCCAUUUUGUCUUACCAUCCAUGAUUGCUAUAAGUAACGAUAAUGAGUAAAAUUAAGAAGACUGGGAAGAAGAAAACCAGUGUUGUCAUUAUUAUUGCCAUUCGCAUUGUCAAAUGCCACCAUAGUGAAUUGUUCAUUCUGGAUUAAAUUCUUGUGUCCGCCAUUAUAUCUAAUGGAAAGGAGAUAAUUUCUCUAAAUUUUAGCCGAAAUACAGAAUGUUCUCUAUUUUUUAAAUUACAACUUAGAUACUCAAAGAAAUUCUCGUAUUUUAUGAUAAAAAUUUAUCAACAAACUGCGAAAUUAGAAUUAAAAAAAAAAAAAAAGCAUGCUGUUUAGUUAGAUAUGCAUAAUUGUUUUAUCUUGAAAAUUUAUAGCUUGAUUUGAGUUACCACCACCAAACUGUUUUCCAUCAGAACCAUUUCCAUUUGGAUUCCUAAAUUAUCUUCCACCAUAAUAAUUUCCAUUGCCACUGACAUUGAAGUUAGAUUGCCAAUACCUUCUCUGAUUUUCUUUGCGAUAGGCAAAAUUUGCUUGAUAAUCCAUGCGACUGAUAGAGUGUUGAUACUCAAUCGUAUUUUCAUGACUCAACAACAUGCCAUAUGCAUCAGAGAGAGUUGUGUUUUCAGACCUUACAUUGAUGGUAGUAAUAAUAGAAUCAUAUUCAGAUCCAAGACUAGCAAGCAAACAUAACACAAAAUCAUCAUCACUCGUAUUGUUUCCAGCAGCUCUCAAAGCAUCCAUAGUGGUUUUCAUCUUAGUGUAGUACUCAUGAAAGUUCAUUGAUCCUUUUCUAAUAGUUUGAAUCUGAGCUCUCAAAUAAAGAACUCUAGAUCUAGAUCUGGUGCCAAAUUGAGUAGAGAGGAUCUGCCACACAUCCAGGGAUGACUUAGCUCCAAUGACAGCACUCAGAACUUGUUCCCUUAGAGUUGAAAGUAACCAGCACAGCAAUUGUUGAUCAUUCUUUCUCCGGAUCUGAAAUUGUGGAUUUGGUGAUUAACAACUGUUUGAUCAUUGUCGACAUAGAUUACAACUCGAUUUGGAGGACUCUUUGUGUUGUCAAUCAAAUCUUCAAGUUCAUUGGCAUUGAUUAUUGCUAUGGCUUGAGAUUGCCACAAUAAGUAGUUGUUAUUAGUGAGCUUGAUAGGUGUGAUGAAGACCAAAGAGCUAAGAAUAGAGAAGCUGAUAUUUGAGGUUGAAGUUGAACUUAUGGUUGAGCUUGAUGCUUCAUUACUGUUAGCUUGGUUUUCAUUACUCCCCAUUGUUGUUUCAAGGCUCUAAUACCAUGAAGGAAUUUAGAGAUCACAUGGAGAAGAGAAUUUGCAAUUGUAUUUGACUAUUUUUCAUACCGAAUCACUUGUAUAAAUAGUACUUAUAUUAGUUGGUCAGAUUUUCUCAACUCAUCACUCAGCUAACAUUUACAGUUGUACCAAAAAAUAACAAACUCAAAACUAAUGAAUAUUCUACAACUAAUCUUGACCGUUCUUUAAUAACUAACUAAACUCAUCACACAACUGCAAAGGAAUCUCACUAUCUCAGCAUAACUAUUUUGCCAUCUAGAACCUUCUUGCUCUGCACAUGCAGCUUCCAAUACAAAUCCUAUGUGAGCUGCUGGCUUGGUUAUCAAAUGAGCUCCUACAUGAUUUGAUUCAACAACAAUCAUGAGGAUGAUUUAGUCUAGACCAAAUCUCUUUUAGGAACAUAUAUUGAAUUUAAUUUGGAAAUAAAUAUUAUUUGUGGUCGGGGUAAAUCUAAAAUUUGGAAAAAAAAAUAGUAUCAAUAUAUCCAAAUAAAAAGAUUUUUAUAGGCUCAAAUGGAAACUUAAAGUAUGAGAGUAUCUGUUAUUCAUUAUCUUGCUUAAAUAGAGAUUUGCAAGGAUUAAAGUAAAUGAUCAGCUACAACACUGAGAAGUUAUAUUUGUUAAAGCGCGUAAUUUUCAAUUUUUUUUGGCAAAUUAACCACGUUGAGAUUCUCAAUUCUCUCUCUCUCUCUCUCUCUCAAUCUUUUAUAAUAUUUUAAUAUUCUUAAUUUCUUUCUCUUCAUGUAUUAUUUUUAAUUAAUUUUUAAAAUGUUACAAUAACAAAGGGAGAAAAACACUUUCGUUUUUAGAUUUUUUUUUUUUCAAACCACUUGGAUUUUUCCUUUCGUUGUAACAUUUUGCUAGACCUUUGAUUGCAUACAGAAUUUGAUAUUAGUAAUUAACUUGCACUAUGUGGUACAGGUUUUUGCAAAAUCUUUGUAUUAUUAUUUCUUUCCAAAAUAAUUCACUUCCAUGGAUACAGUAUUUAUUUUAUGGUAAAAUAGAAGAAAACUGAUAUAUAUGUUACUUUUGGCUAUGAUUCUACUUGAUUAUGCUAAUAGUAAAAUUCAUUUCCUUUUAGUUUACAUUUUAGAGUUCAUUAACAAAAAUGAAAAUCUAUGUCAGAUUUCUUUCCUUGUAGAACCUCUGUGAGAAUAACCUAAAGCGGCCUUUUAAACCCAUUUGAUUUCACUUUUCCUUCAGUACUUCAAUAGCAAAUUGUCUGGCUUAAUUUCCGUUUUUGCAUUUUGCAUGUCUUCUAUGUGCUAUGGUAAGAACUAACUAGUAUUUGUGUAAGCUGGAUGCUCAUAUUAAUUAAAUCUAGCACAAUACUGUUAUGAAAAAUACGGUCAAUAAAAUCUUUCAAACUUAUAUUUUGUAACCUAUGCUGCAGGAUCUAUCUGCUAUAUUAUACUUCUUGUGCCUUAUCUCGACAGCGUCAAUUCGCAUUAAUGCUGAUGAAUUUAACGUUCUGGAUUUUGGGGCAGCUGGAGAUGGCAAUGCAGACGAUUCAAUGGUAAAAGCUAAAAAAUUGUUUCUGCUAUGAUAUUUUGACGGGGUUAAUUAUCCAAAUUUGUCUCUUUUAGUUCUUAUGGUGCAGUCAAUUAUCCAAUAAGUGCCUUUUUUAAAAAAAAAUUACUCAAAAAUAUUCAUGUUGUACAAUUGUUUCCGUUAAAUCUAUUUAAUUAUCAUAUAUUAAACGAUAUGAUUUGAUAACUUUCUCGGACUUUAAGCAAUCCAAGAGGUAUCCUUGAUAGGAUUGGAUUUAUCAUCCAUCAACUAUGAAAGUAACAAUAUUAAUUGGUGUUUUAGAUAAUUUUUUAAAAUACAAGACUACUUGAAUAAUUGACUCAAAUCGUAGGGAGUAUAAGAGUUGUUUUAAAUGGGUGGUUAUACUCCAUCUCAUUUUCCGUAAAACUACCUCACCCUACUUAAUUUGUGAUUUUUCAUUUUCUGUUGAUUCAACCAAAAAAAAAAAAAAAUCUUUAAUUUUGAAGAGUCAUAUUUUUAUUUAUUCCUUUGGACAUUGAGUACUUAAUUUGUUAUUUUUCACUUUCUGUUAAUACAACCAAAAAAAACCUUUUUUUAUCAAAUUUUGAAGAAUCAUAAUUUUUGUUUAUCAGAGUCUCCUUUAAACAACUAGAUACUGACUGUAAUAAACAAAAAAACUGAUUUAAUAAUUUGUAAUUUGAAAUUGUAUAGGCUUUCAUAAAAGCAUGGAAUAACACAUGUAGUGCCACAGCAAAGUCACCUACGAUGGUUAUUCCAAAGGGAAAAACAUUCUUGGUGCGUCCUAUAACCUUCGCCGGCCCCUGCAAGUCAAGUGAUAUCACUAUUAUGGUAAGCAGAUUAAAGACAUAGAAAGCUAAAACUGAAACAUACUUGAAUUAAAUUACCCUAUAUUUAUGUCCAGCUUGGUGGAAUUAGUUAAUUGAUUAUACAUGAUGUGCACUCUUAAUUUGACACCAUAAAAUAUCGUUCGUAAACUAUGUUUUGCUUUUGUUAAAUACGUUGUUGUUUUUCAUGAUGAGAAGGGGAAAAAAAAAACACAAAGAAAACCCUUCAAUUCAAGUGAUUUUUGGUUAUUACUAAGAAUACAAUAACUUCUUUUCUUAAAAGUUAAUUUAAGUGAUGUAUCUUCAUCAAUCUAUUUUUUCCCCCAACAAAGCUAUCAGGUUCAAUCAUUGCACCGAACGGUCCUAAUGAAUGGAAGGAAGAUGAUAAAUCAAAAUGGUUCGAGAUUCAGGGAGUAGACAGUCUCCAAAUUGACGGCUCCGGUACGAUAGAUGGACGUGGGAAGGCCUGGUGGGACAUUUCUUGCAAGAUUAAUAAGAAAGAGGUAUACAUAGAAAUAUAAAUUGUUGUAUAAGGCCAAAUUUGCUAUAUUUGAGUGAAAAAAGCAUGAGAAUAUCAAUAUAUCACAAUUUCAAGCUAAACUAAUAUUCAUAUGGUUUAACAUUUCAACAGGGAUGUAUCAAGCUUGCACCAACGGUAAGUAGUAAACUUUAAUUUGCUUAUUUAAUUUAUGUGUACAAAUUAGUGUUUUAAUUGUUUCUGCAUGCCAAGUUGUUACUAUAUGUGCAUGUAUAUAUAGGUGCUCAAAUUCGAUCGGUGUAACAAUCUUCGUAUGAACAACAUGAACUUCAUCAACAGUCCCCAAACUCAUGUCACUUUGAUGGGAUGUAAUGGAGUGGAGUUUGGAUUCUUGAGCAUACAAGCUCCGGGAACAAGCCCUAAUACUGACGGGAUUCAUAUUCAGGCUUCCAGUAAUGUGUAUAUCCACAAUGCACAUAUCAGUGAUGGUACUUAAUUUAUAUAAAUAUUCAGCUGAACAUAAAGUGAAAUUAAAUAAAUAGGGAAAAUAUCCACAGUCCACCCAUUUUUUCCAACUUUUAAAAAAAUAUAUAAUUCUUUCUUUUUUUAGCUGGAAUCCACCUAAAAUUACAUUUUGUUUCACUUUUCCAUUUCUGUUUGGAAUCCGUUAAGAAAACUAACGGAAACUUAAAAAAAUGAUCAUUUUACCCCCAAAACGAAAAUUACAAUUUCACCCUAAAAAAUGUAAAAAAUAAUAAGAUUUAAUGAUAAAUAUCAUUAUUGGUAUGUUAAUGAAGUACAAAAAAAUCUUAACUACUAGAGAUUAUCACUCAAUGAAUAAUAAACUCUACUUAUCUUAAAUUCAAUUGAUGGUUUGCGAGAUUGGGCAAGUUUUAAUACUACUGUUAUAAUUUAGCAUUCUAAUUAUAGACAUAUUAAAAAAACCAUGCAUUUAAUGGUUGUGGAAUUCAUUUCUUUAUUGACUGAUGGGGAAAAUAAUUAGAUUUAAUCUGAUUAUUUUUUGUAAUUUUUAAGGUGAAAUUGUAAUUUUCGUUUUGCGGGGUAAAAUUGUCAUUUUUAAAGUUUCCGUUAGUUUUCUUAACGGAUUCCAAACGGAAGUGGAAAAAUGAAACAAAAUGUAACUUUAGGUGGAUUCCAGCAAAAAAAAGAAAGAAUUGUGUAUUUUUAAAAAAGUUGGAAAAAAUAAGUGGACGGUGGAUAUUUUCCCAAAUAAAUAUUACCUUCCAGUCAAGUCAUGAUGCUUUUGUUGAGCUUUAUUUUAGGUGAUGAUUGUAUUUCAAUUGGAGACAACACUUCAAACAUUAAUAUUACUCAAGUUGAUUGUGGCCCUGGUCAUGGCGUGAGGUAAGAAAUUAAUUUUAUGGGUUAAAUCAGCAUAAGAAAAAACACUUUUUUUUAAACAAAUUUUGAGACCUGUCUUAAAUUUAUUAUUGGAGUAUUUAUCAACUUAAGUUAUUAGGUUAAUAAAUUUCUCUAAUGCUAUCAAAGCGAAGUAUUAUGUUGAUUUAGUCCGUCUCAUGUGCAAACUCUGCUUUAACUUGCAUUAUUUUCGGCUUUUGUCUCUCGCUCCAUUGUCACGGUCUCUCUCGUCCACUAGAUCUUAAAAUCAGUUACUCUAAAAAGUUUCUUAGUUAACUCAAAUAAUUAUUUUUUAAGUCAAUUAAAAAAUUGAUUAGAAAAGUUAAGGCAAUCAUAAGUGUGAAAAUUCUUGGAGUAAAGCCAUAAUCAGUGAUUUGUAUGAUUCUGUGUUGGUCCUAGCAUUGGAAGCUUAGGCAAGGAUGGGGGUGAGGUACACGUUGAAAAUAUUACUGUGUCGAAUAUUAAUUUCAAGGGGACAACGAAUGGGGCAAGGAUAAAAACAUGGCAGGUAUAAUUGUUACAUUCAGAAUUACAUUCAUUUUUUCUAUAUAAAUUUUAGCGUAAUUAGAUUCCGGAAUUAAAUUUACAAUCUCCUUGAGUAUCAUAAAUGUAAAAAAUGGUGUUAUAUUAAAUUACACUUUAUUUAUUUGGAUUUUGUAGGUCGGAAAAGGCACAGUAAAGCACAUCGUGUUCUCAAAUUUAAACUUCACAGAUGUGGAAAAUCCUAUCAUUAUUGAUCAGCACUACUGUGAUGUUGCAGAUUCCUGCAAGGAAACGGUAAAGACAAAACUAGCCCUUCAAAAAAUAUUUUUAAAGAAUUGACGUAUAAUUAUUCCUUAGUUAUAGAUACAAUUAAGUCUUGUUCACAUUUUGCUUGAUUUGAAACUUUUAUCAUGAGGUGCGAAAUUUCGCACUUUAGAAACCACGGAUUUGAGCUAAUUAUUGAUAACUAGCAAGUUUAUACACGCAUUUUAAAAAAGAAUUAUGAUAAAUAUCCCAAAUUUUUAUCUCAAAUUUCAUCUCAAAUCAUGUGUCAUUUAUUAAAUGGUUGAUAUAUAAGUGAAUUAAUUAUAUUAUCUAACCAAUCAAUUGAUGAAUGCCACUUUAUUUAGGAUAGUUUUUUAGGAUAAAAAUUUUAGGAUGUGUAGUAAUACUCUUUGAAAAAUAGGAUGUUGAUUGUUGCAGAAGAAAAUAUUUGGCUCUACAUCCAACAUAGUAAACCAUUUUUGUCUCCAAUUAAUUAUUCCGAUUUCUAUAUGUGUUUUGAAUUAGUUUACACACAUAAAUAUAUAUGAUAUUGAUAUGUGUAUUUUUUUUUUUUUCUUAUGUUAAAGGACACUGGGGUUCAUAUAGAUGACGUUCUUUAUGCUCAGUCAUUCGGAACAUCGAAGACCGAAGUGGCAAUCAACCUCAAUUGCAGCAGCAGCUCUCCUUGUACUAAUAUCAUAGUAGACACGAUUCAACUGAAACCAGCAAAUCCAGGACAGCGAGUCAUUUCCAGUUGCAAUAAUGCUAAUGGCCAGUCUAAAGGAACCGAUCAACCUAAGUGCUGUUUCUAGAUGAUUAAAUUUUAAGAUACUAUACGCACAAUGUGACGGGCCGUAAGGAAGAUAAAAUUUUCUGGAUGAAUGGGAUAGGAGAACGGUGAGUUUUAUAUAUAUGAUCAGUCAAGUAAACUUUAAUUUAGUUAUGACUAGAUAUAUAUUUCCAUGUACUCAUGCAGUGUCAUUCAUAAUGAAGAUAAACACUCCCUGGAUGGUCAAUUUAUAUGAUAUCUACUGUUUGAUUGUAGGACAUCAAUAAUGACUCAAAAUUUAUGUCAAAAAUUUAAAUAAAAAUUUUUAGUUAAAAUAGCACAAUUCAAUUUUCAUAUAGGAUAAGUGUAUAAAUGCUUAAAGAUCUUUGGCCGAGUGGUGAACUCAUGUCCUCAUUUAAUUGAGGGUAUGGUGAAAUUCUUAAGAAUAGUUUUUCUCCCAAUUAAAAAUUGUGUAGAGAUGGGCAUCUCUGGGCGGAGUAGAUAUUCCUUUGGUUUUCAUUUUUUUGAGGUAGAAAUCUAGACUAUGCCAUAAUAGACUUGAUCUAAGAUGGCCCUAGUGGAUGUUAGAUGUUAAUAUCAGUAAAUUGCUAGUUGUAAUAUAAAUAUUAGUGUAAAUAUUAGUAUAAAUAUGGGUCACUCACCAUAAUUAUUGAAUUCUUCUGCACCUAACAUCAUGACCUUUAAACUAUGCCGAAUAAAAUAUGUGCAGUGUGCUGUUUAUUUUACUCUCUUUGACACUACAAGUUGAAUAUAAUAAUAUAAAGGAUAAUGCUAUUUAAAAUUCUUUUGUUUUUUCUUUAACUUAAAUUUCAUUAAAGAAACUAAAGAAGAGUACAACGGAAAUAUGCUGGAAAAUUUUUCCACCGAAACAACAGGACUUGGAUGACCGAUGCAUUGACUUGAAAAAAAAUAAAAUGGUUGAUUAGGUAGGUUUAACGUUUUAGAGCAUGUCCAUGAGUUUAAUAUUUCAUGAAUUCAUUUGAAAUUGCGCACAGCCAAUGAUAUUAAAAUUCACGAAAAGUAUAAUAUUUCGGGAAAUCGCUAAUUAACCAGAUUUGAGCAAAUUCAUAACUCCAUCGCCUGUUUGCAAAUGGCUGUAAUUAAAUCAUAGUUCAGCUGUGAGGAAUACAAUGCAAACCCUGAUCAAUAAAACUAUUAAAUUUAACUCGGAAAAUAAUUCGAGUAAAUCAUUUCGCUUGCCAGCUCAACGUCUGUAAGUUUCAUCCUAUAUAUUGACAACGGCAACGAUGCCGAUGACAACAACAACAACAAUAAUAAAUAAAUAAAUAAGAUUUGUUAAAAAAUAAUACCACAAAAUGUACUGCUGAAAAUUAAUUUUGUGAUAUUAUCUUAAGCCAAUCAAGUAUUAAUUUGAUUUAGCCAGGGCUGCUGCCCUCCAACUUGGAGGGCAGCAGUUCGAACCCCCACAAAAGUAUUAUGGGAGUAUUUCCUUCCUCAAUUAAAAAUUGAGUGAAGACAGUCAUCUUCUUUACUCAUGAGUGAGGAGUGGACAUCCCUCGAAUAUUUAUGAGGGUUAAAAUCUGGGCAGAGCUCCAUUAACAUUGAUGUAAGUUGGUCCCAGUAAUAAUCUGAUUUGUAAAUAUUAGUUAUACUCUCAUAUAAUAUAAGUUGUAAUCUGAGCAAUAGUCUCAUGUAAUAAAAAAAAAUGAAAGACAGUGCACCCAAGAGUAUCCUCCUAACUAGAUCUUAGAUGAAAUUAGAUUUCAGUGUCAAACUCAUGCAUAAGUUAAUCCACACUAUUUUACUAUGUAAAACGAAUUAUGAAAAAGAUCGGCCUGCACGUGACGUGGGUGUUCAUAAAAUAAUUUGACAUUGCCUGAGAUAUUGCGUUAAGUGUAUAUGCUAGAGAGAACCCUCUUGAGCUACCUUUUAAGUAGGCGUCUGUACUUCUUUCUUACCAUUAUACCUUUCAAUUCUAAUAAACCAAAAAUUGAAAAAUAAAAUUAAAACAAAUAUAUCAUAAACAACAUAAGAUAUAUUUUAUAAAUUAUUUUGAAUAUUAAUCAAUUUUUCAAUAUUGCUAAUUUGGCAUAUAUUUCAGUAUUAGUAAAAUUAUUUGAAUUGAUAAUAUUAAUAUAAUUAUAUUUAAAUUUAAAAUCUUUAAUAACAAUCCUUGGGGUCAAUACACUUUAAUAUUAGUAAAGAGUAGUGAUCUUUGAGCCUCAAUGUAUCUCUUUAGCCCUCAUUUUUCAAUUAAUUCAUUAUAUUUCUAAAAUUACCCUUAGAGAAAUUUAAAAAAAUAGUAUUUUUUUUCCUCUAUGGUGGUGCUCGAGAGGGAAAGAGUAAAGAAAAAAAAAUGAUUUUUGUUUUUCGAUGGGUAAUUUAUAAACAAAAUCAAGCUGCUGAGAUGAAUUGAGAGAAUUAUAUAUCAUUACUCGUUAGUUAAAUAUUUGUGAAUGUUACUGAUAUCAAAGUUAAAAUUUGUGAUUAAGGAAGCGAAGGGGGGAAAAAAAAAACAUUACAGGAAUGUAAGAAGCGGCUGCUUGGAAGGAGAAGGGGAUAAAAGAAAGAGAACAAAGAAAGUUACAUUGGUAAGUUUUAUAAUUUUAGUUUUCAGAUAAUUAGUAAAACUAUGUGUUUUUGUGUUUAAUAAGAAAAAUUAAGAUUGAGUUAAAUCAUGUCCAUCCAAUAAUUUAAAUUACACAUGUUAAUUUUUUUUUAAACAUUAAGAAAGAUUAGAUUGGGGGAUGAUCUGGAUCCGAAAUGGAAAAUAUCUCUGACUGAAUAAUUAGUAUCCCUUCUUUUCUUUCUUGUAAUUAUUUUUCCUUUUUGUUAUUAUUAUUCGAACUCAAGUAAUUGUGUAAACAAAGCACAGUCAUGGGGUGAGCCAAGUUAUGCUAAAGGGCCUUGUGGAAGAACAUAAAAUCUAAAUUAAUUGAAAAAAAAAAUUCAUUUAUUCAAAAUUAAUAUUCAUCCUCUUAGAGCCUUUGUAAUUUUGUGCUUAUUUAGGUAACCCGACAACUAUUACAAGGACAAUUGGGUAUAUUUUAGGGAAAAUGAGUACAAUCCCUCUGCUGUUUAGUCAAAAUUCUCCUAAUAUUUUAAAUUAAGUUCAAAUCCCCGUUAUAAUGGUUGUCAACUUUACUAAUUAUUUAACCUUGCAAAAAUAAUAAGAGCUAAUUUUAAUUUGAAAAUAAAAAGAAAAUGAUAAAUUUCGUCACCAUUACAAUCCACCCGUCACCAAAUUCAUUCGUAAUCAUCUAAUUUCCAUUCUAAAGACAAAAGAUUACAAACAAAAAUAACUGCAAGCCCAAGUCUCCACCGCACAUAUCAGAUAUCACCUGAUUAGCGUAGAUCCUCCAUUGGGUUUACAGUCCAAUGACAUAAAAUUCCCUUGAAACUAGUGAAAAUCCUAUCAUCUACUUAAGAAAUAACAUAUCAUAUGUCGCAUAAUUUACAUUAAAAAUUUAAAAAUAUAUUUGAAAUUUUUAGUAUUACUCUUUGGACGAUACAGAUAAGAAGGUAACUCAAAUAAACUUUAAAUUUUUUUUUCCAAAACCUCUUGUUUUCAAUACAAAAGAUUUUAUUAUCUCAAUUAGAUGGCUCCGAGAGAUGUUAAAAUAUUAAAGUUAAUAACACAAACUGCAUUAUUAGUUUGCAGAUAAAUAACAUUGAUAUAGAAUUAUAAAAAACUUCCAACGGAUUGGAUAAUGAAAACCUAGAAGAAGCUAACUUUGUGGAGGAUUAUUUAUGCAAUUAAAAUAGGGUUAAUUUCUUAGUAGGGUUAUAUUGAAAAUGAAUUUUAUAAGGAUUUUGAAUUUGAUGAAUAUGGCGGCUGUAUUCAGCAGUUUAAGCAAAUAUCUAACCCAAUUACAAUAAAAAAGAACUAGGUCAGUUUUAAUAAAAUUUUCAUAUAUACAUUUAUUUUAAAAUCAAGUAAUUAUAAUGAGAAAAAAAUCGAAAUUAUACGUUGAUCAGAUUUAUUGCGUGAUCCCGUUGAAACUGUACCAUGGAAAUUUUAUCGGUAAGACUAGCUAGGUAUAUAGCUUACUCUUAUAAAUGAAUGUCUAGCUAACAAGUUAUAUAUUUUCACCGAUGAUUUUUUUAUUAUUCCAUAUGUACCUUAAAAGUUUUCAUAUGUGGUUUCCAUAAAAAAAAAUGUUCAUGACAUAUUAUAGCGAGACCAUUAACCAUAAUCUUCGAUAAUUUAUAAUAUUCAUCACUCUACGUCUACUGCACUACUGCACCUGGGUUGAUUUUAUCUUCUAAUGCAGAGUCUGACAUCAAUAAGUUAUAACACUCAACAAAUAAAUAUUAGAUAUUGCACGAUGAGGAUAAUUAAAAACUAAUCUAAAUAAAUAGAUCGGAUAGAUAUUGCAUGAUAAGGAUUAUUAAAAUCUAGCCUAAUUGAAUACAUUAUCAGGACCAUGUUGGAUUAAUUUGGAAAUAAAUAUUAUUGUUAGUACGGCAAAUCUCUAACAAUUUGGCAAUAAGUUCAAAAUUAUCAAUGUAUUCAAAUAAAAAGAUCUAUAUAUGGGCUCAAAUUGGAAACCCCAUGUAUGAGAGAAUCUAUUAUGGGAUUAUCUUGCAUAUUAGAGCUUUGAAGGAUAAAUAUAAGUAGAAGACCAAAUGAUCAGUUGUUAUAAAUCAUCAAAAUAUUUUUAGUAUUAUUAUAUUCAUAACUAAAAGCGUAUAGUCUUCAUUUUUGUUGCAAAUAGACAAUGGCAAGAAGAGACAUUUAUCCUCAAUUAAUUCACUCUUUCGCUCUCUCAUUCUUUCAUUUUAAAUUUCUUUCUGCCAAUAUGCAUAUCAUAUUUCAUUUUUACUCUCAAUGCAGGAACUAUUUUUCAUCAUCUCUUUGCUAAUGCGCAUGGCUACAUUGGGUUGGAGCCGAUCGUAUCCUGGAGCAAUGCCUUAUAACGUUAUGAACUUUGGUGCUGUGGGAAAUGGAGUUACCGAUGAUUCCCAAGUAAAUAUAUAUCCUUUACAUACGAGUCAUUCUCCAAAUGGAACGCUUUUCAUAAAAUAUAGAUUUAAUAUUAUAAAACAUUUCAUAACUAUGAUACAAUGUUAAACUACAAGCCACACUAUAGAGAGCUAUUAGUCAUUCUCUAAUACGGAUGCCCACACUUAAUGUAUCAUAUGAUGUAAAAAUGAAUCCAUAUUUUAAAAAAAUAUGGGUACCUCAUAGUUAUAUAUACUUUUUUCUGAUGUAUCCAAUCACCAUAUUCUAUCUCGCUAGACAUUAAAUGUGUUUCCUAAGAUUUGAACUGUGAUCCUUUGUUUUUAUUAUGCAAGUCAAAUCAACUGAACUAUCAUUUGGAGAUGAUUCAAUCCCCAGUGCCACAUAGAUAUAUGAGAGCUUUUGGUAAUUGAAAAACCACAAAAUCCAACCAUGCAAACUUGACCUAAAAUAGAAACUGACAAGCUCUGAUUAGAAAUAGUAAAUAUAUUAUGUAUGAGAGAUAUAAAACGCACGAUAUAGAAUGAAACAUGAGACACGGAUAAGUGAAACAAGAAUUAAAAUGACAACAUCGAAUUAAUACUCACUUUCGAAAGAAGAGAAAAAGAAAAAAUCAGUAAUCAAUAGAAGAACUAGAGUCUAGAGAUUAAUUACAGCUAGUUUGCCUUUCUCAUCAAUUUAAAAUAUCAAAGCUCUUUAGUUUCUGUUCUUCUUAAUUUUUUUUUUUCCUUGUGUUAGUAUUUUACGGUAACUUCUGUGAUUUAAUUCAUUUCUAGGCUUUUAUUAAAGCAUGGAACGCGGUUUGUGGAGAUACAUCAAACAAUCCAACCCUUCAGGUUCCUCAGGGCAAAACAUUCUUGCUGCAACCUACAAGUUUCCAAGGUCCAUGCAAAUCUUCCAACCUCCAAGUUCAGGUAAAUGGAUUUUAAUUUUCUCACCAUCAUCAAUACCUUUCAUAAUACUAGCAAUAUUUAUCAAUAAGAAAGGUAUAACGUCAUCACACUCUCUGUUGACUAUUUCAAUUUUUUUUAUGCACUCCAAAUUUUUUUAUUACCGACGUAUGUCCCAAAAUUCUAUUUAUUGUGUACAUAAUAUAUUGUAAGUCAGCGGUCAAUAAUGGAAGCACGGGAAUCAAUACUGGAAAUAUUAAGGGUAUUAACGAAAGAUUUAAUAAUUUUUCAAUACCGGACAGAAUUAUACUGUAGUUUCUCGAAAAAGAAAGUCUUACUUAAAGCUCUAUUUUUUUAACACAGAUUGAGGGGAAUCUCAUUGCACCUGAAGGACCGUCAAGUUGGAAAGGAAAAGAUCGAAGGUCUUGGCUUUACUUCGUAAAUGUCAAUGGAUUUACUGUUAAUGGAAAUGGAGAAAUUGAUGGCCAAGGAUCACAGUGGUGGAAGCUUUGCUCGGAUGUGGGUGCACAACAUUUUUUGCAAACUCUCGUCUCUUUUACUGAACCUUUUUUUUUUUUUUCAUUAUUUUUAUAACAAAUUCUCAUACACCUUCCUGAAUCAUAUGCAGUAUAGCGAGGACUGCACGAAACCCACAGUAAGAAAAUUUGUGAACAAAAUGCUUAAUUAACAUAAACAUUCAUCAAAUGUAAUGAUAAUAUUACAUACACAAUCCUUUUUCAUGAAUAUGAUGGAUGGCAACAGGCAUUAGUAUUUGAAAAAUGUACCAGCUUUCAAGUCAGUGGACUGAAACAUAUCAACAGUCAGAAAAAUCACAUCUCCUUAGAUAACUGUCAGGAUGCAACUCUCUCUAAUCUCCACAUAUCAGCCCCUGAAUCAAGCCCUAACACUGAUGGCAUUGACAUCUCUGCCUCCCAAAACAUUCAUAUUCUCAACAGUAACAUUGCCACAGGUUAGUAUUAUUCUUCUUUUGCUUUUUCUAGUACAUUCAAUUUUGUACCUUUGUUUAUUAUUAUCUUUAGAAAUUAUCCAAUUCAGAAUCAAAAUCCAGAAAAGCUAUAACCCCAUAUGGUGCAAUAGUAUAAUAUAAUAGUUUUUCCUGAGUUUAAUAAAGUCCAAGAUCCUAAAUUAGAUUAGUACUCUUACUAUCAUUUCUUCUUUCUAUUUUCUUGAGUUUAACUGUGCGUAUAGCAUAAAUUUUUGUUGUAUGAAUUUAGGUGAUGAUUGCGUUGCAAUUAACACGGGAAGCUCUCAGAUUAAUGUAACUGGGUUGACAUGUGGUCCGGGGCAUGGUAUAAGGUUUGUUAAUUAUGAUGACUUUGUCUAAUUAAUCCAAACGAUUUACAAAGCGUGGCAAGUAUCUAUACUUAUAAGAGCAUUUGUUAUUCUAGCAUCGGAAGCCUAGGAAAGCAAGGAGAGGCAGCAGCAGUUGAGGAAGUACAUGUGAAAAAUUGUACUUUGAACGCAACUCAAAAUGGAUUGAGGAUCAAAACAUGGCAGGUAAUUAAAGUCUUCUUAAAUUAACCAAUAAUAUUCAUCAUUUGUAAUAUAUAUUUCUUAUUUCAAAAUUUAUUCUUAAUGGUUCUUAAUAUUUAUAGGGGGGGUCUGGGUAUGCCAGGAAGAUAACUUUCAACGACAUUACACUCACAGAUGUUGACAAUCCCAUCAUCAUUGACCAAUUUUACUGCCCACAUGAACAAUGCAGUAAUGAAGUAAGCAAAUAAUAAAAAUCUUGAUUCUAUCGUGUACUUGAUUGUAGAUUUCUUAUUGCUUAUACUUUUACUAAUACAAUAUUUUAUUUUGAUUAAUUAAAAAGACAAAUGCAGUCAAAAUAAGUGAUGUUUCUUACACUGGAAUUCAUGGGACAUCAAUCACACAAGAUGCAAUUGCCUUGAAUUGCAGCCGGACUGUUGGCUGUGACAACAUAGUGCUGGAGCACAUCCACAUAACUUCAUCGAAUUCGAAGGAGGGAACUUAUUCAACUUGCAUCAAUGCUCAUGGAAAAUGUGAUGAUUCAGUCCCUAGUGUUGGCUGUUUGAAAUAAAUUUGUAGCAUUUGUUUACACAGCUGCUUUAUUCUUAAGAGAAGCCCCUUUUUUUUUUGUGCAAAAAAGAAAAGUUAGAUCUGUUACACAGCCUUUCAAUAUUUGAGAGAAAUUAGAUCUGCUAAUUUGUAAUCAUUUUGAAAAUUUAUAAAAAGGUCACAUGGAGUUGGUUUUUUUUACUGUUCUGGCAACUUUAAUAGAUAAUUAGUUAAAAGUCUCGUGCUUACUGCAAUUUCCCAAGCAAACCUUAUUUCAAUUCAACGCACCUACGGACGGACCCUCUUGUCUUUAGGCCCAGUUUAUAAAGAUCUUUCCUCUGGUCUCAAUUUAUGUCCACGUGAGGAAAUGUUGAGACUCUGCUUUAGUACCACUGCUGAGUCCCAGGCCCUGGCCCAUUUACAAGCCCCCCUUUAUGUCUUAAUUGCUACCUUACAUGAAUAAAUCUACCAGUCUUUAAUAUUAGAGUCGAACUAUUGGCACCUCUAUAUUUUUCUUACAAAACCUCACUUUAAAUAAAAUUAUAAUUAAAGACAAUUGAAAAUUAAACACAUAUAGAUUUUUUUUCUAGCAAAUUACUUAAUUCAUAAUCAAUCAUUUAAAAACAAAAUUAUAUGUUACUUCCUAUUUAACUAAAAUAAAUUGUACAAAUUUAGAAUAAUCUAUUUUCUCUUUUGAUUUUUUAUUGAUUAAAUAUUUUUAUACUUAAAAUUGAUUUGAAAUAUAUGUUAUUUUAGCCAAUGAUUAACACUAAAAAACUUAUCACCCAUAUAACUUUUUAAAUUUGUGUGUAGAUUAAUAAUAAAAUUGAAAAUAAUUAAAAAAAUAACACAAUAAUACUUUGAGUUUUAACAAUAAAACAAAUCAAAUAAAAAUUAAAAACUUAGAAAAAUGUAUAUAAAAAAGGGGUAUUUUCGGAAUUAAAAUGAAUAUAAUUAAAAAGGGGGUUUUAUGAGGAGAUGAGAGAGGUGCCAAUAGUCCAACUCUUAAUAUUAUUAUUAAGUUGUUACCUAAAAGAUAUAAAAGAUAACCAAUAAUUUGAGGAGUGUUACCAAAAAAAUUUUAGGAGACAAUGGCUAGCAUAAAGUUUUCAAAAUACAUGUUUUUCCUGAAUCUGAUUAUUUGUUUUACAGUGUGAGAACAUUAAAAAAUAACUAAGUAAACAAAUAUUGAACUAUUUCAAUUACCGACAUAAAUAUACCAACUUCUUGUUAUUAUUAUUAUUAUUAUUUUUAAUACAACUCUUUACGUAUAGAACUUAUUCAGCACAUAUUUGCCGUUUUAGGAACCUCGAAACUGACCAAAUGGAAGGUCGCAUAUCCCCUUCUGGAAGUUAUUUAAAUUUCUAUGCUAAAUUCAUAUUACAAACAGCUAAAAUUUUGGAACACUAAUCCUAGCAAAUUUGUCUGAGGGGUAAAAUACGAAAACCAACUAAAAAAAAUCAAUAUCCACAUCUAGGAGAAUGAUGUUGCAAUAUCGUAUAUGAAUUACAUUUUAUAGAAAAAAGAAAAUUGAUAACCGAAAACAAUGAUAUGAACGUUACAGAAAAGUUAUUAUUAUUUUCAAAGAUUCGACAAUAUAACCCGGCGGACUGCAUAUGGAACAAUCUUUAGAAAGAGCGGUUUCAUGAGCAAUAAAUCAAAAGCACCAAAAAUAGCUUACCAGCCUAGCAAGACGUGCUCGUUGCCACCCAAAUUCUAUCCCCCCCCUCCCGUCUCCUUCUCUCUCUUCUGGUAUUGUUCAUCCUGCAAUCUUUCUUGCCGGCAGGCCGCCAUGGAGAACAAGCCAUACCCUCCCGAGCAGUGGCGCGCAUGGCUCACGCCGGUCAUCUUUGUUGUUUGCAUUAUUAUGUUUGUUUACACCAUGCAUGUAAACAAUUGCCCUGUGAAAACUGCAGACAGUCACCAAUGUGUUUUGAGAGAUAUAUUAGGGAGAUAUUCCUUUCAACCCUGGAAGGAAAAUUAUCUCCUCGGACCUUCCAUCUCCACGUAAUUAAGAAGUCGAACCCUCAACAAUGUUUCUGUUUCAUUUUGUGUACUUAAUUGGAAACAGGGAUAGAUUACUCUCCUUUAUUUUCUUCCAGGCUCAGAGAUCUCGGUGGCCUUGACCGAAACCUAAUUGUGAGGAAAAAUCAAAAAUAUCGUCUCUUGUCUAGCAUGUGGCUUCAUGCUGGAAUCAUUCAUUUGGUUGUCAACAUGACGAGCCUUAUGCUUGUUAGUUACCGCCUGGAACAGGAAUUUGGAUUCGGUAAGAACUUGAUAAUGAACUACGAGUGAAUUAUUGUACUAUAAGUUCUUACUGGUUGUAAAUCACUCUUGAAUAUGGCAGCGAGAAUAGCACCUCUGUAUCUGCUUUCUGGGUUUGGUGGAAGCCUUUUAUCUUGUCUUCACCAUAAAGGAAAGAAAGAAAUUGUUUCAGUUGGAGCAUCCGGUGCACUCUUUGGACUGUUGGGAACCAUGCUUUCUGAGUUAAUUGCAAACUGGACGAUCUAUGCAAAUAAGGUGACUAUGUUACUAACUGCUUUAAAAUAAUAACACAAUGACAUAAACCUCGCAGAUAUUAUUCUUAAAUAAUAAUAAUAAUAGUUGUGAAAUUGAAAGUCAUAAUAUUAAGAAAGUAAGUUCAAACAUCAUUCCAGAAUGAACUUUCACAAAGAUAUAAACAGAUAUAAGUUCUAACUCUUCUCUGUUCAGUGCACAUCACUUUCAGUUCUAGGUUCUGUUAUUGCCCUGAAUUUGGCUUUUGGAUUCAUACCCGGUGUGGAUGGUGUAGACAAUUUGGCACAUAUUGGAGGAUUUGCCUCUGGAGUUCUCCUUGGAUUCAUCCUCUUUCUACGUCCCCAAUAUGGAUAUGUAAGCGAAAAAUACAUUGCUGCAGGAUAUGAUGCCAAGCAUAGGCAACCCAAGUACAUGCACUAUCAACAAUUGUGUUGGAUUAUAGCUUUAAUCCUCUUAGUCCUUGGGUAUAUCACUUAACACUCAUUUCAAACAUUUGUUGAAAAUUUCACAAUUGGGGUUCACAAAUUUCAGCUAACCAUUGCCAUUUUGUCAGAUAUGCACUCGGCUUGUCCAAGCUAUACAAAGGCGACAAGAUACACAACGAACCUCUCCCACACUCUCAUAGCUGAUUAUUCUUGUAGCAGAUUAACCACAAAACCUUCAUGUAACACUAGGAUACUGGAUUCCAACCUUCACAUCCUUACAUCUAUGUAGACAAUAUCCAUGCACGCAUAUGCAAUAGAGCACACAAGAUAUAUGUCGAUAAAUACUGGAUGAUAUUUAGGCAUUUAUGCAUAUGCAUACAACUCAGUUCUCGGAUCUUAUCAUUUGAACUUCUAUUCUUUUAUCUUUUAUCAGUGUAAGGAAGAUGCUUUCUUAAGUGUACAAAAGGGAGAUAGAUGUUUGAAAUAGUAAUACUGCACAAUAACUACGGAUAGUUCAUAAAAUAUCUUCCUUUCCUAUAGGAUAAAAGAAAACUUUGCAAGGAAGUGAUGCACAAAAUACUCAGAUACAAACUUUCAACAUUUGGAAUUAGCAGAAACAGUAAACUUUUGAUGCUCUCAAACCUCCAGGAUAUCAUUUAAAAGGAUCGUCCGAUCCUGCUUUCCUUUUCCUAAAGCUUCAAACUAUCCUGGUCCUCACAAAUUUCCAACCUAACAGGAUGUAGUCCUUGGACCAAGAGAAUUCAACAAAACUACCAGGAUUUAAAAUAUUGAAAUUAUCAAAUGGGAGCUCCAUACCUCUAUGUGGGUCCCACAAAUAGCAUUCCCUCAAUGAUGUUAUCACUCCAUUAUAUGUGCAGCUGCUUGCUGCAGAAGUCUACUUAAUUAGAAUGGGGAAUGGGAGGUUGAGGGUGAGUGUGCGUGCCAUUCUAUCAACUACUAAAGAAACAGGAUACUAUAAGGAGGAAAGACAUGGUUACCAAAAAAAUAUUGCCCGCUGUAGAAAAUAUGGAAAGAUUAGAUUAGUUGUCUAAUUUGUCUGAUUUGUACAGUUAUUACUAAUUUGUAUAAUUCCAGAAAUUAGGAAGUUAAAUUAGGAAUGUGUGGUCCUAUAAAUUAACCCUAUUGUACUGGCUGUUAGAUGUACUUAAAAAUAAGAAAAGAUAUUUAUUCUUCUCCUCUGUUAACAUGGUAUCAGAGCUAUGGCAGAAUUAAGCCUGGCUUGACUCCCAUACGGAUCUAUUCAUUGUCUUGUUAUAAUGGCGCAAAACACCAUGCCUGGGGUUACAGUAACUGGUGAUACCAAUUCCACUGCUACAUCUACUGGAAUUGGUGCAGGGGAGUUUCUUCCGUCAGGAUCUGGAAACUUGAACGGAAGUGAGAGUUUUCCCAUGCAAUUAUCCGGUCACAAAUUGAACGGUAAGAACUAUCUAGAAUGGGCGCAAUCCAUUAAGUUGGUGGUCGAUGGCAAGGGUAGACUUGGCUACAUCACCGGUGAGACGAAGGAGCCGGAAAAAACUGAUCCAACAUGGAAGACUUGGAAAUCGGAAAAUUCCCUAGUUAUGUCCUGGUUGAUCAAUUCCAUGGAGGUUUCUAUUGGGAGGACGUAUUUGUUUCUUCCCACCGCAAAGGAUGUAUGGGAUGCAGUUCGAGAAACGUAUUCUGAUCUAAAAAAUUCAUCACAGAUUUUUGAAUUGAA